RNAcentral lists this long non-coding RNA (8784 nucleotides) under Elaeis guineensis (African oil palm). RNAcentral describes it as "long non-coding RNA (EGUI_LNC025550)". The record is from RNAcentral. Lineage: Eukaryota; Viridiplantae; Streptophyta; Magnoliopsida; Arecales; Arecaceae.
AGGAUUCCAAAUUCAGAAAUGAUAAUGCCAUCCCCAAAUCAGUACAUAUACAUUAAAAUGGAGCUAUCAAUAAAUAUAGAAAAUUUUCAGCAACAUGGUAUCAGAGGUUCAUCAAGCAUCACUAGUCCAUGAGCGGCAAUCAUUCUGAUUGAUGAAUCACUGUUUGCACAUGCAUGGUUUAAUUACAUCAACAUCACACCGCAUUCUGCAACUACAUGCAGUAAUAGCGACUGCCAGGACCUUAGAGCUAGGCGAAAGAGAGACCUCAGAUUCAACACUGCAAACAGAACUCCCAGGAUUUAGAAGAUCAUUACAUAAUAAUAAUUCUACUGAUUAACAAUGCAAAGUUUCAUUGUAGACUAAUCUAACGGCUGUAUUGACCAGUUCACAUGAUCAAGACCAUCACCGAUGGUCGAACAGGAAACAGAAUUCAAGGAAAAGGAUUGCCCAUAUUCUUCUCUACAAGGACAGUAGCAUGAAUUUAUUCAGUAAUUCUAUUGUAGGGAGAAACUCAACCUCAGUAGCAAAACAACAUCUACUACUCAAAAUGAUCGAACAAGUUUGAAAUCAUUAUCCAGACAACAUACUACGAAUCUUAUAUUAAAAAGAAUUCUUGAUGCUAGAGAUGCUUCUUCAGGAAUAUCAAUAACUCUCAGCACACAAAACAAUCAUUGCCAGAAUGCUACGACUGGAAUCCACUUUGACAAUUAGGAAAAAUUCUAAUGUUCCAUGCAGUGGAUGUCACAUCACGACAGAAUAAGCAUCUUUGAACCUUCAAUAAUCCAACAAACAGAGAAGGUAACAAACCAUGAUCAAUGAUUUGGCCUGACUUGAAGCUUAGUUUGGGCAGCAUUUUAAUGCAACAGUUUAAUUUUUAUGUGUUGCCAUUUCAAAGUUGAAAGAUUCUGCAGAUUGAGAUAAAAACUAACCUUUUCACUUUGGAGAAAGAGUGUUAGGCAGACAGAUAAAAGAAAUGGAAGAAAAUUCUAGAUGCAAAAAACUAGCCAAGAUGGCAAAGAAAGAUCAUAUGGCUAACAAAUUGCCUUGACACAGGGACUUCCCUGAAAGAGUAAGAAGAAUACGUUGGCAUAGUUAUAGCAAAUUAUGAGUGCUGCAGCUAUCCAGAAUCACACAAAACAGCAAGACUUGAUAGUAUGCCUGACAGAAAUUUUGUUCUGAAAUUAGUUCCCAUAAGAAGCAAGCUUCAGCUCGGAAAUGUGAGCGAGUGCGAUGGAAUAUCAAAUCAUAGAAUCAACAUGUGCCAAUGAUGGUCCUUUUUAUGUAGGAAUAUCAAAUUGUCAAACUAUGCGGUAAAGCAAUAGAUAAGGGAAGCAUAGGACAUGCAACAAUCAACCAAUAAAUGAGCCUUAGACAUUAAAAAAAAAAACACACUAAGGAAAAUCUUUCAGAUCCAAAAUACUUGCUACCAUGAUUAAAGAAUUUCAGAAGAAGAGUGAGAGAUAGGAGGGCCCAAAUCAUAAUGCGACCAAGAAUCUAAAGUCGAUGCCAACUAAGAAUGAGAUGCUGGAUAGAAUUGAAUGGCAGAAAAACAAGUAUCAAAAGAGAUGGUUGUGUGAUAUACAGUUGUUUGAGAAAUAUUAAUACCACUGUACCGCAAAAAAAAAAAUAAUACCACUUGAAAUAAAAUAAUCAAAACAACAAUAUCCUUUUAUGCAUCCUCAUGAUGCUUGACUACAUAAUUAAAAAUUCCUGCUAUAAGCCAAACAAAGAGACACUGCUGGAGAAUAUUUGGUGGCCCAAAGCGCAGAAUGAAAUUGUAGGUUGAGGUUAACCAAAUAUAUUCUGAGAAAGAAUGUACCUGUGUUAGGGAAAAGAUUAUUGGCAUCAUUAUGGUUUAUAACUGCUACAACAAAUGUAAAAAAUAUACAUAUAUUGAAGACUGAUAUGGUCAUUUCAAACUUGAUGUCGCAAAGAAACUUAGGCAAUGUCAAUGAUUUAUCUAUUAGUUUGGGGUCACUACAUGCCAGGCCAUAUUAUAAGACAGCUGCAAGGCCUUUUAACACACACAUGGACUUGAUGAUAUAGUUGACAUAUCCCAAAUAGUUCAACUUGGCUCUCCUCAUUUUAGCAUACGAUGAUGAAGGAAUACAUAGAAGAUGUAAUAGAAUAUAUUGGUUUUAUUAUUUGGAUGAUGAAUAUAUGACAUGCCUCAAAGAGGAUUUGUUAAGCAAAGAUUAAUAUAGCAGGACAGUCUCUCAAGUGUCACCAGAAACUUGAUAAGGGGAAUUUCUAGCAACUUUGCUACAUAAAUAUGUUUGUCGCGCAGAGAAUAGGAGGCCAAAGUCAGAAGCACAGGAUGUAAGAUGAAAAGUAAAUACUCGAAGGUGGUUGGGGUAAAUUUUGAAAGUCAAAUUAAAAAAAGAGCAUUAAGCAAAGCUCAAGUGUACCUAAUGAUAUAUGAUGGUGACUUAUCAUUAGCUUCUCAACAUGAUUAAAGGAAAGGCAAACAAGAUUUGCUAUAACACCAAAUUGAUCAAUGCUUGUGAGGAAGGCAUCAAGAGGUUCAACCACGAAGCAAAUUUACAACUAAAAGAUCCUUACAUUUCUUUGUCCUUGGAAAAAUAGAGAUCAUUCAUCAUAAAAAGGGGCCCUUUAAAUGGUAGGGAUCUAAAUAGGGUUCGUCGAACCGUGUUGAACUGUACCGAUGGCCAACCGGGAUGGUUCCACCAUUCGAAAUGAAAGACUGCGAGGAGGGGAGGGAGAAGGAAAGAGAGGGAGGGAGGGAGGGAGGGAGAACCUUCGGAGGCCCUCGAUGGCUCGCCAAAGCCAACGGAUGGCCGUUGUGUCUACUAGAGGGCCAGCGAGGAGGGGGGAGGGAGAAGGAAAGAGAAAGAGAGAGAGAGAGAGGGAGGGGGAGGAGGGAAGGAGAGGGAAGAGAGAGAGAGAGCCUCCAGAGGCCUGCCACAGCCUCUGGAGUGCCGAGGCUCUAAUCAAAAUAGGGGCAUCCGUCCUUUAAUCCUCAUCCUUUUUUUUUCACGAUAUCAGGUGAAGUCGGCAAUACUGCUGUUUUGAUCGAAAGCCUCAGCCCUCCAAAGACCUCAACGGACACCCGGAGGCUCCCCCUCCCUCUCCCCUCUCCUUCCCCCAUCUCUCUCCUUUCCUCUCUUUUCUUCUCCUUCCCCCCUCCUCACUGGCCCUCCAGUACAUGCAACAGUCCUCCAAAGGCCUUUGGAGGCUCUCUCUCCCUCUCCUCUCCUUCCCUCCCCCUCAUCUCUCUUUUCCUCUCUUUCCUUCUCUUUUCACCUCUCUCUAUGUCAGUUUGGGCCUGGUAUGGAAUGGUGCAGGGGUGUACUGAACAGUACCACUAGCCAAUUGGUCCGGACUUCGGUACUGGCAUAGCAAACUUGGGAUCUAAAUAAUAAUAUAAAUAGAGAUAAGAUCAUAAGGGAUCACACCAAGAGAAGACUCAUUGAUUAAUAAAGCUGUACUAGUUUGAAUCCAUAAGAAAACUCUUUCACCCUUAUCCCUAUCUCAGAUAAUUUACAUUUUCAAGCUCAUGCCUCUGCAAUAGAAAAGCCUAGUUUUACAUAACUCUUUCAUUAUCUUGCUCUUUAUUAGCAUUCAUUUCCUAACACUUUCAAGAGCCAAGCCUCCUUAAAUGACAAGACAUCAUUGUCCGCAAGACAAGCAUGACUGGUGAUGCCAUAUAUAGUGCAAACUUCAGUAGACUUAUGAAACUCAAUAUUCCUACGGGUCUCUAAUUUGAGCCAUCAAGGUCAAAAAUAUCUUCCUUGAAGAAAACUAGCUCAAAUUAUUCAAAAAUCGAUCCAGCUAUUCAUAAAGACAUUGAGGGAUCUGGAUUAGUUUUAGACUAUUGAUGCAACAAGCCUUCAGCUCCUUGUCUUCUAUAAUCCAAAAAGGAUCCUUUUCCUCAACUUGCAUAAAACAACCUCUAAAGGCACUCCAGCCUACCUAAGUUUUCCUUAGAAAAUAAUCUUCCCUCAUUGCAUUCAUUUCAACUAUAGGUCAUUAAGUUCUAGAUCAAAAGUUUCAAUGCGGCAUAUCACAUGGAUGCACAUGACAAUUUUUAGCAUGGAGAGACCAUUUUUUGCCCACUCGUUUGAGAGAAAUUCCUCUGUAUUGUAUUAGUUCAGCAAGGAAACUAAUAAAAUUUAUAAGGAGCUAAGCAGCUUAUCACAAACUCAAUCCAUGCAUGCACAUAGCAUAAGGUUGAACUUAGACUAAAGCCACCAUUUAUCUUACCCAAAAAAAAGGACAAGGAGACUCCUUGAGCAAAAAGAGAUGAUUUAUGCAUUACAGUUGAUUCAAAGAUCCCUUUCCAAAUAUCCUAGUUAGUAAAAACAUCAUAUCAAAACCUAAAAUUUGAAAUUUUCAUAGUACUUGCAGAUAACAUUCUCCAAAGAAUAUUACCAGCUAGGCCCACUCAAAAGCCACUGACCAAGACUGAAGAACAAAAAUCACAAUCUCUAACUACAUAUGACCAAGGUUCGUCGUCUCGGUACCGAAUCCCAUACUGGUACCAUCCUAUUAUAGUAUCAGUACGUGGUUUGGUACGGUACAGUAGUAUCGGAAUGGAGAGGUAUAGCAUACUGAUAUGGUACCGUAUGCUCGCACGGGGUGGUAUGAGGUGGUAUGGCAAGCCAUGCAUAUGACUUCUAGAUAGAUCCCAGUAUGUCAAAUUUAUCACUGUUCUACACUUGUUACUGAAAUGAUGAAAUCUCAUGAGAAACUCCUCAUCGCUUCAUUUCCAUUCUCCACUCCCAUAGGGAUACAAAAAACAGGGUAGACGAUAAAAAAUAGUUGGAUUAGAGAAUUAUGGCAAUCACCAAUUUCAAAUAAAUAGUAUUGUUCUCUUGUAAAAAGGGCUAAUUUGGGUGAAUGACAGAGAACUGCAGUGUUCACAAUAUUUCAUGCAUGUUACUGUCAAAGUGUUUAUCAUAUAUGUAAAUCUCUUUGAGAAAUGAUUUUAAAAGAUUUAGCUUUAAGCAAGCAUUUUCAAAGAAACAUGAGACUACUGACUGAGGCCUAAUACCUUCUCUGACAAUUAAAACAAGGAAUCUUAGUGUCAUGCAAGAUGCAAGCAAUUGAUCUCACAACCAAAUUUAUUCUCCUCCAACGACAGCCAAGAUGGUACUGAACACCUUGCCCACAAGAAGAAAAAGGAGUUAUGAGAGAAGAAACUUCCUGUUAUGGGCCUUGACUAGCUACAAAGAACCCACAGGUAUUUCUAAUUCAAAACAAAAACUUCACUGAGCAGAAGCAACUAACCAUGAGAUGACCACAAAUUUUAGGAAAGCAGGGUUUUGCCGUGGCAUAUUUUUAACUUGCAAGCUUUAUUUGGUUUGCAAGGGUUCAGCUUUACAAACAUGAGAAUGGUUCAUGACCUUCUUCAACCUGACAUCAACCCAUCAUUGGUGUUGAUUUCCUGGUCAAAGCAAACUUAGGGAAUAACAGGGGCUUGUCAUGAAACGUGGAAAGCCAACAUGCUUGCAAAGAAAGAACAAAGAAUAAUCAUCCAGGACUUCCCUGAACUUGGAAAAGACUGCAGACACAACAAGAGGAAACAUUUGCAAAGAAGCAAAGUGUUUUCCAAGGCAUAAGUACCAGCUGAAAAGCCAAGUUACAGCAUUGUCCCAUUGUCAAUUAAUUAUCUAGUAAUAACAAAAUUUCAGGCAUCUUAAUCCAGCGUUGACAAAUGGAGAAAAUCAUUGACAUGAUAUAUUAGUGAAGUAUAGUUAUUGUUCCUGAUGUCCUUAGAAGGUUUAUAUGCUACAGCUGAACUAUCAUGUAUCCUAGAGAAAAAAUAAAUGACUUUUCCUAAGCCAAUCUCCCUUCUUGUUGUGACUUUCUGUUUUAAAUUUUCAUUAAUAGGAAGUAAACAUCACAAGUUAAUCUGCUGAAAACAAAAAUAUGAUUAGCUCUACACUCAAAAUGUCAACUAAUGCAUUCUCAACUAGAAAAUGCCACUUGUACUGCCUGGUUUUGUUUAGGAUCAUAUGUAGGUAUCUUCCUAUCAAAAGUUACCACCAACCAAAAAUAAAACUUAUAAAGGUCAUAUAUACCUGCAUUUUCUUGCAAGGAUGAUUGUAGCACAGAGGAAGAAACUGAAAAAAUUAACCUGAAUAAAGGAAAUUCAUCCUGAGAGAGACUACAGUAUAGUGUUUUCCUAACAAUGAAUAACCAUUAUAUAUCUAGAGGUUAAAUCUCUAAAUCUCUACUAAGCGGCUAGAUGCACUCAACCCCCUUCAGAUUCCAGGCACACAACAGAGACCUUUGAGAACUCUGUCUAUACUUAUAAGCAGCAAGAGAUCCACAAAAGCGCCCAGUUUUUCCAACACAACUAGUGCAAAAGAACCAUAUGAAGCUGCUUGAGCUCUUUAAAAUAGAAACCAGACGGCUAUAAAUAUUAAAUACACAAAAAGAACUCAUCCCAUGCCACCAAAUCGUGAGUCCCCUGAUACACCACACUCUCCCCAAAGAAUUCACAUAUAACAUCUCCAGGUAACCCAUCAACAAAACUAGAAUCGUGAAAGAACGUAUGGGAGCAACAGCAAGGGUAGGUUGAACCAAAACAAGGAUACCCACCACCAAAUACUACUACUUUUUUCAGGAUGUUAACUCUAUCUCUAUCCAGUUCUCCACCAACUGCUUAGCCUUUUGCUUAUACAUGGUGGCAUCCAGAGUUACUGUCCACUAACAUUUAUCUUCCUUCUUCCAACUAAACACACAAUGAGGCCUGAGUAUUUCUAUUUUGUACAAAACUGACACAAAGUGGAGCAGCACAAGCAUGGUAUACAUUGCAUAAAGAAAGAAUAGUUCGCCAAGGAUGAUUGUAUCAUUCACAAAUACAAUUAAGAAAUAGGUUUACAUUCUUCAUGCCUGAUGCAACGUAAGCCAAGAGGAAGUGAAAGAACCAUCCAACUGAUCUCUGCACUAAAAAUCUGAACUCCACUACAGCCAUAAUAUGAUGAAAAAGCUACUAAUGAAGUUCAACAUAUGCCAUUACAAAGUUAAUUUUAAUGAAGAAUGCAAGUUCCCUUGCUAAUGCAUAAAUCUUAGACGCACCAAAACAAAGUGAGGAAGUAAAAGAAUCAUAUCACCCCACAUUUUUGUCAUAUGACCAUCAUAGAAAAUAAUUACCUACGAUGAUAAAACUCACAUUCAUUAGUUAGAGCAAUAUAUUAUCAUGCAUAUUAAAGGGAUGUAUAAAAAAUAAAGCGCGACUGAUUGUCAUGAUAAGCACUAAGGACCAGAUAAAGCUCUAACAUAGAUCCACUUGCGAUCUCCUAAGAGAUGGCCAACUAGUAUCAAGGCCAGCAAAUCAGUAUCAAAAUUAUUUACCAAUGCCUGAGUAUUAAUGAUGCUGCCAGAAACAUUUGUCAACGAGAAUGUUCAUGAGGAGGAAAAAAUAUCAGUAGGAGGAGGAUAUGACCAAUUUGGACAAAAAGUACGAAAGGAAUUUUUGCUUUAAAAAACAAAAAAGAGAAUCUUUUAUUUAUUAAAACAACAAAGAAGGAUUUGAUGCUGCAACAAUGCCAAACUGGUACCCCAAAAAUAAAAAGUCAAGAACAACGAUCUGCCCAAAAAAAAUAUUACAAAUCUCUGAGUGUCCUAUAAUGCUGCCAUAAAUAUUUGUCAGCAAGAAUGAUAAAGACAUGGGAAAAGAAUAUCAGCAUAAGUAGAAUAUAAGUAGUUUGGACAAAAAUUCUGAAAAAGUUGUUUACGAAAAAAAAAGGAAAAAAAAUCAAAAGAAGAGAAUCUUUUAUUCAGUAAAACAACGAAGAAAGAAUUGAUGCUACAGUGAUGCUUACAUUAAAAAUCACAUCAAACAACAAAAGUUUCGACAAUAAUUCUCAUGACGCAGAUGAGAAUCCAAAAAUUCCCAUAAUCAUUAUAGAAAGAUGUCAUGCAUCGCCCCACUUUAUUUUUGAAUUUGAAUAAACAACUUAACUAAUUUACACAUACAAGCAUUUCCGAAACAGAGAGGGAACUUAAAAAAUAAAGAUAAAAAUCCCGGGCAAAUCAAGAACUCAAACAAACAACAUCCAGUCAUAUCUAGGAAAAACAUCAAAAGCCCAAGCCAAGAUUUACUAAACAAGCAAAAACCAAUCCUUUACUACCAUAAUUAGCAAAUAAAUAAGCAUAUAACAGAAUUAAACAACACCCAUAAAUAUCACCAAACAAAACCGAUUCGAUCACCUACACAAAUCCACCAUGAUAAGUCAACAACCAAAAAAUCCCAGCCCAAAAUUUUUUCCAAAUUUCCAACCCAAAACCCUGCACAUUAAAUGCGAAGUACAAAUUAUAUAAUUUAAUAAUUAUAAAGAACAGAAAAAAAAAACGUGUAUAUCCAACGGAAAUUACAUAACAUAUAUGAAAGAAGAAAUAUAGAGUUAAAGAAAGAAAAGAAAGAAAAGAAAAAAAAAAAGGAGAGAAGGCGAUACAUCAUCACGGACCGUUAAUAUUUAUGUAAACCGCGCGAGGGUACACCAAGCUUCGGUGUAUCGUAGUCUCCUCCCCAAUGGAAGCAGCGCCGCGCGUGGUUCCUCUGUCUGCAAUGCCUGGCUCCAUCCUGUGUGCCUUCCUUCUACCGCUACACCAUGUAUAGCGCCCGUACAUUACCGAAAUGCCCUCCGGCGUCAGCGAGGACUGGCCGGAGGGGAGGGGGCAGUAUGGUCAUUGGGGGGGAUCGAGCCCGGGGCCAUCGGAGAGGAGAGGAGAGAUCUCUCUCUAGCUAUGUGGAGGGGAAGUGUGGCGUGGUAUUGGGUUUUAUAGGAUGGAGGGACUCGGUUUUUUUUUUUU